GUUCGCCCGCCUCCAGGACCACAUGAUAAACCUUUUUUAUGCAGUUGCAAUCAGCGUCAGUACAACAAAUGUAAAUCAUUUACAACUUUCAACAACGGAUCUCUUGGUUCUGGCAUCGAUGAAGAACGCAGCGAAAUGCGAUACGUAGUGUGAAUUGCAGAAUUCAGUGAAUCAUCGAAUCUUUGAACGCACAUUGCGCCCUUUGGUAUUCCAAAGGGCAUGCCUGUUCGAGCGUCAUUUGUACCCUCAAGCUUUGCUUGGUGUUGGGCGUUUUUUGUCUUUGGUUUUGUCCAAAGACUCGCCUUAAAACGAUUGGCAGCCGGCCUACUGGUUUCGCAGCGCAGCACAUUUUUGCGCUUGCAAUCAGCAAAAGAGGACGGCACUCCAUCAAGACUCUAUAUCACUUUGACCUCGGAUCAGGUAGG
Molecule: ribosomal RNA, 425 nt
Filed under: Curvularia lunata
Lineage: Eukaryota; Fungi; Ascomycota; Dothideomycetes; Pleosporales; Pleosporaceae
Description: eukaryotic LSU rRNA
Rfam family: 5.8S ribosomal RNA (bases 84-237)
Source: RNAcentral